RNAcentral lists this ribosomal RNA (492 nucleotides) under uncultured bacterium. Its description in RNAcentral is "partial 16S ribosomal RNA". It matches the Rfam family "Bacterial small subunit ribosomal RNA", at positions 30 to 507 of the family's 1533-position model. The record is from RNAcentral.
AGUGAACGCUGGCGGUAGGCCUAACACAUGCAAGUCGAACGGCAGCACAGUAAGAGCUUGCUCUUACGGGUGGCGAGUGGCGGACGGGUGAGGAAUACAUCGGAAUCUACUUUUUCGUGGGGGAUAACGUAGGGAAACUUACGCUAAUACCGCAUACGACCUACGGGUGAAAGCAGGGGAUCUUCGGACCUUGCGCGAUUGGAUGAGCCGAUGUCGGAUUAGCUAGUUGGCGGGGUAAGGGCCCACCAAGGCGACGAUCCGUAGCUGGUCUGAGAGGAUGAGUGGGCAACAGGGAAGAGGGAUGGGGUCCAGGCGCAUGCGGGAGGCAGCAGUGGGGAAUGGUGGAAAAAGGGCGGAAGCUUGAUACCGCCAUACGGAGUGGGUGAAAAAAGGCUUGUGGUUGGAAAGCCGUUUUGUUGGGAAAGAAAAGCAGCAGGUUAAUAACCCGCUGUUCUGACGGUACCCAAAGAAUAAGCACCGGCUAACUUCGUG